RNAcentral lists this transfer RNA (72 nucleotides) under Pangasianodon hypophthalmus (striped catfish). Its description in RNAcentral is "tRNA-Glu". Lineage: Eukaryota; Metazoa; Chordata; Actinopteri; Siluriformes; Pangasiidae. The record is from RNAcentral.
UCUCUGGAAGACUAGUGGCUAGGCCUCAGUGCUCUCGCUGCUGCAACCCGGGUUCGGUUCCUGGCCAGGGAA